Molecule: ribosomal RNA, 522 nt
Filed under: Orycteropus afer (aardvark)
Lineage: Eukaryota; Metazoa; Chordata; Mammalia; Tubulidentata; Orycteropodidae
Description: partial 16S ribosomal RNA
Rfam family: Bacterial large subunit ribosomal RNA
Source: RNAcentral
ACCUCUAGCAUGACUAGUAUUAGAGGCACUGCCUGCCCAGUGACACACGUUAAACGGCCGCGGUACUCUGACCGUGCAAAGGUAGCAUAAUCAUUUGUUCUCUAAAUAAGGACUUGCAUGAAUGGCCACACGAGAAUUCAACUGUCUCUUGCUUUUUAUCAGUGAAAUUGACCUUCCCGUGAAGAGGCGGGUAUGUAACUAUAAGACGAGAAGACCCUAUGGAGCUUAAAUUAAUUAAUUCAACAACUCAAAUUACUAAGUGCUAAUAGCAUAUAUCUCUAGUUUCAUGAAUUAACAAUUUAGGUUGGGGUGACCUCGGAGCAUAAAAAACCCUCCGAAUGAUAUUAUGUUAAGACUCAACCAGUCUAAACUUCUACAUCACCAAUUGAUCCAUAUACUUGAUCAACGGAACAAGUUACCCUAGGGAUAACAGCGCAAUCCUAUUCUAGAGUCCCUAUCGACGAUAGGGUUUACGACCUCGAUGUUGGAUCAGGACAUCCCAAUGGUGUAGCAGCUAUUAAA